AACGAACGCUGGCGGCAGGCCUAACACAUGCAAGUCGAACGCGCGUAGCAAUACGCGAGUGGCGCACGGGUGAGUAACACGUGGGAAUCUACCCAGAGGUUCGGAAUAACCGCGGGAAACUGCGGCUAAUACCGGAUGUCCCCUACGGGGGAAAGAUUUAUCGCCUUUGGACGAGCCCGCGUCCGAUUAGCUAGUUGGUGAGGUAAUGGCUCACCAAGGCUACGAUCGGUAGCUGGUCNGAGAGGACGACCAGCCACACUGGAACUGAGACACGGUCCAGACUCCUACGGGAGGCAGCAGUGGGGAAUAUUGGGCAAUGGAGGCAACUCUGACCCAGCCAUGCCGCGUGGGUGACGAAGGUCUUCGGAUUGUAAAGCCCUUUCGGCGGGACGAUGAUGACGGUACCCGCAGAAGAAGCCCCGGCUAACUUCGU
Molecule: ribosomal RNA, 433 nt
Filed under: uncultured bacterium
Lineage: Bacteria
Description: bacterial SSU rRNA
Rfam family: Bacterial small subunit ribosomal RNA
Source: RNAcentral